CAUGGUCACUCCAGUCCUCAAAGAGGCCUUCCGGCUGUUUGCACUUCUGAUGUUUAAUCAUUCAUCACCAUUAGCUGCGGUAAGGAAACGAUAAUGGCGGAAAAGAAGUUCAAAGGAGCCCCAUUCGGAGUACAGUCUGCGAGGUUCGACGUCUCUGGCGUCCAUCCUACAAAUAAGAAGACGGGUACCUACACUGAGAUAUCAUACUGCAAAAAAAGUACAAACGAAAUGGAGAGGAAGCUUGGCCCUGGCACCUAUGAUCCAGAGACGGGAGACUUUAGCCCAAGGGCAGUGUGGCAGCGAACAAGGGGCCCAGGGUGGAAGAAGGCACAAGAGACAAGCAGACUGUCACAAAUGCCCCUUCUGCUGUAUAGAGAUGUUUGGGGGGAAAAAAGCUUCUUGAAAACCAAAGUGGGCCCAGGAAGCUACAAGAUCUGUGACUUUAUUGAGCUGCAAAAGAAAAGGCCAUCAAGUAAGAGAGGAGUGUGUGAAGCCAGAGAAGAGAGGUUUAAAAAUCAUCCACAGAGCUGGACCCCGGGACCUGGGAGUUAUGGCAAAGGGGGGAUACCAUGGGCAGUACUGGAGGAGAAGAAGAGCCAGUCAGUAGGAACAUAUCCCCCCAUGGACUUCAACUAUGGGGUGAAGCGAUUUGAGGAGCGCACAGUAGGCUGCAAUUUAGGACCGGGCACUUAUCAUCUGAAGAGUUCCAUUGACCUUCUUCUAGGUCACAGAGUCAGUAAACGAGGACCAUAUGACCUGUUCACUGGCAGCCGAGACAGGCCUGCCACCUGUGGCUAUUUUGCAGAACUGAAAAAAGCAAACCUGGACCCUGGAGAAUACAGCAGCGGUGUAAAGACAUUGGUGGAAGGGCUGGAGAGGAAAGAGAAGAAGAAGCAUGGUGUGUUCAGCACCCUGCCCCAGUACCCUGCUGUUCCCACAGACAGAAUCUUCCUCAAUUCCCUGUCCCUGUGUCCUCGCCCUGCGACCUUCCCUGGCCCUGGCUGGUAUGAUAUGGUUCUAACUUCCCAACCACAAAACCAAAAACCACCUCCCUUCCUUUCCUCUGCACCACGUGUCAACAGCAGGACAGAGAAACUCCAGAAUGGAAACUAUUUGCAACUUCUUCCUGGUGUUUAUAUCUAAGGAGAACCUUCCCCAGGCUAGCAUGAUUAAAAUCUCCUAAAACAAUGAUGGGGGAAUCUGAAUGUGAUUUUUACCGCCAACUGUUACAAAGCAGGAGCUGCAUUCACAGCCGGUGAAAUACAGAGUAAGCAGCCACUAGUACAACUGAGGCAAGUUCUAUGAAUGGAUAAAAAGAUUUGCAAUUUAUGUAAAGAGUUAGAAACGGACACCUCCGCCUGUAAGCAUAAAUGAAUGUUCCUGUAUCUGUCCUGAUCUUUCCUCCUUAUACUACAGGUCAAAGCCAAAAGUCAAGCCAGCCAGCCAGUCAGUCAUGACAUGCAGUAGCACCUCUGAUCUUGUUGAACCACAUCAUACAAACACAGCUGGUCCGGGACGCUAUGACAUCCGUAACAGACAGUGGAACAAGACCGCCAGAGGC
Molecule: non-coding RNA, 1561 nt
Organism: Lepisosteus oculatus (spotted gar)
Lineage: Eukaryota; Metazoa; Chordata; Actinopteri; Semionotiformes; Lepisosteidae
Source: RefSeq, a predicted model, not a curated record